UACGUAGGUGGCGAGCGUUGUCCGGAUUUAUUGGGCGUAAAGAGCUCGUAGGCGGCUCAGUAAGUCAGGUGUGAAACCUCCAGGCUCAACCUGGAGACGCCACCUGAUACUGCUGUGGCUAGAGUCCGGUAGGGGAGCGUGGAAUUCCUGGUGUAGCGGUGAAAUGCGCAGAUAUCAGGAGGAACACCAGCGGCGAAGGCGGCGCUCUGGGCCGGAACUGACGCUGAGGAGCGAAAGCGUGGGUAGCAAACAGG
RNAcentral lists this ribosomal RNA (254 nucleotides) under uncultured bacterium. RNAcentral's name for it is "partial 16S ribosomal RNA". It matches the Rfam family "Bacterial small subunit ribosomal RNA", at positions 524 to 776 of the family's 1533-position model. The record is from RNAcentral.